UCCCAGAACCACAAGCUCGACAAGCAG
RNAcentral lists this non-coding RNA (27 nucleotides) under Homo sapiens (human). Lineage: Eukaryota; Metazoa; Chordata; Mammalia; Primates; Hominidae. The record is from RNAcentral.